Molecule: ribosomal RNA, 490 nt
Filed under: uncultured bacterium
Lineage: Bacteria
Description: partial 16S ribosomal RNA
Rfam family: Bacterial small subunit ribosomal RNA
Source: RNAcentral
GAUGAACGCUCGCGGCAGGCCUAAUACAUGCAAGUCGAACGGGAUUGCGGUAGUAGCUUGCUACUACUGCAUGAGAGUGGCGCACGGGUGCGUAACGCGUGAGCAACCUACCCAUAUCAGGGGGAUAGCCCGGCGAAAGUCGGAUUAACACCGCAUAACAUCAACAGUUCGCAUGUUCAGUUGAUUAAAUAUUUAUAGGAUAUGGAUGGGCUCGCGUGACAUUAGCUAGUUGGUAGGGUAACGGCUUACCAAGGCAACGAUGUCUAGGGGCUCUGAGAGGAGAAUCCCCCACACUGGUACUGAGACACGGACCAGACUCCUACGGGAGGCAGCAGUAAGGAAUAUUGGUCAAUGGGCGCAAGCCUGAACCAGCCAUGCCGCGUGCAGGAGGACUGCCCUAUGGGUUGUAAACUGCUUUUAUCAGGGAAUAAACCCCUUUACGAGUAGAGGGUUGAAUGUACCUGAAGAAUAAGGAGCGGCUAACUCCGUG